CCUACGGGUGGCAGCAGUGGGGAAUAUUGGACAAUGGGCGAAAGCCUGAUCCAGCCAUGCCGCGUGUGUGAAGAAGGCCUUCGGGUUGUAAAGCACUUUCAGUGGGGAAGAAAGCCUUGGGGCUAAUACCCUCGAGGAAGGACAUCACCCACAGAAGAAGCACCGGCUAACUCCGUGCCAGCAGCCGCGGUAAUACGGAGGGUGCGAGCGUUAAUCGGAAUUACUGGGCGUAAAGCGCGCGUAGGCGGUCUGAUAAGCCGGUUGUGAAAGCCCCGGGCUCAACCUGGGAACGGCAUCCGGAACUGUCAGGCUAGAGUGCAGGAGAGGAAGGUAGAAUUCCCGGUGUAGCGGUGAAAUGCGUAGAGAUCGGGAGGAAUACCAGUGGCGAAGGCGGCCUUCUGGACUGACACUGACGCUGAGGUGCGAAAGCGUGGGUAGCAAACAGGAGUAGAUACCCUUGUAGUC
This 465-nucleotide ribosomal RNA is filed under the name Vreelandella stevensii. Its description in RNAcentral is "partial 16S ribosomal RNA". It matches the Rfam family "Bacterial small subunit ribosomal RNA", at positions 338 to 795 of the family's 1533-position model. The record is from RNAcentral. Lineage: Bacteria; Pseudomonadati; Pseudomonadota; Gammaproteobacteria; Oceanospirillales; Halomonadaceae.